This 420-nucleotide ribosomal RNA is filed under the name uncultured bacterium. Its description in RNAcentral is "bacterial SSU rRNA". It matches the Rfam family "Bacterial small subunit ribosomal RNA", at positions 28 to 414 of the family's 1533-position model. The record is from RNAcentral.
GACGAACGCUGGCGGCGUGCCUAAUACAUGCAAGUCGAACGCACUCUCGUUUAGAUUGAAGGAGCUUGCUCCUGAUUGAUAAACAUUUGAGUGAGUGGCGGACGGGUGAGUAACACGUGGGUAACCUGCCCUAAAGUGGGGGAUAACAUUUGGAAACAGAUGCUAAUACCGCAUAAAACCUAACACCGCAUGGUGUAGGGUUGAAAGAUGGUUUCGGCUAUCACUUUAGGAUGGACCCGCGGUGCAUUAGUUAGUUGGUGAGGUAAAGGCUCACCAAGACCGUGAUGCAUAGCCGACCUGAGAGGGUAAUCGGCCACACUGGGACUGAGACACGGCCCAGACUCCUACGGGAGGCAGCAGUAGGGAAUCUUCCACAAUGGACGAAAGUCUGAUGGAGCAACGCCGCGUGAGUGAAGAAGG